Molecule: ribosomal RNA, 434 nt
Filed under: uncultured Lachnospiraceae bacterium
Lineage: Bacteria; Bacillati; Bacillota; Clostridia; Lachnospirales; Lachnospiraceae
Description: bacterial SSU rRNA
Rfam family: Bacterial small subunit ribosomal RNA
Source: RNAcentral
ACGGAAGGCAGCAGUGGGGAAUAUUGCACAAUGGGCGAAAGCCUGAUGCAGCGACGCCGCGUGAGUGAAGAAGUAUCUCGGUAUGUAAAGCUCUAUCAGCAGGGAAGAAAAUGACGGUACCUGACUAAGAAGCCCCGGCUAACUACGUGCCAGCAGCCGCGGUAAUACGUAGGGGGCAAGCGUUAUCCGGAUUUACUGGGUGUAAAGGGAGCGUAGACGGUUUGGCAAGUCUGAAGUGAAAUGCGGGGGCUCAACUCCUGAACUGCUUUGGAAACUGUCGAACUAGAGUGCAGGAGAGGUAAGUGGAAUUCCUAGUGUAGCGGUGAAAUGCGUAGAUAUUAGGAAGAACACCAGUGGCGAAGGCGAUCUACUGGACAGUAACUGACGCUGAGGCGCGAAAGCGUGGGGAGCAAACAGGAUUAGAUACCCUGGUA